UGUACAUACCUCUGGUGUACCUCUGGUGUACCAGUUGUCGUGCCAACGGCAUAGCUGGGUAGCUAUGUAUGGACGGGAUAAGUGCUGAAAGCAUCUAAGCAUGAAGCCCCCCUCAAGAUGAGAUUUCCCAACUUCGGUUAUAAGAUCCCUCGAAGAUGACGAGGUUAAUAGGUUCGAGGUGGAAGCGUGGUGACACGUGGAGCUGACGAAUACUAAUCGAUCGAAGACUUAAUCAA
This 236-nucleotide ribosomal RNA is filed under the name Staphylococcus epidermidis. RNAcentral describes it as "partial 23S ribosomal RNA". It matches the Rfam family "Bacterial large subunit ribosomal RNA", at positions 2688 to 2925 of the family's 2925-position model. Lineage: Bacteria; Bacillati; Bacillota; Bacilli; Caryophanales; Staphylococcaceae. The record is from RNAcentral.